AGGGCGCACGGCGAAUGCCUUGGCUCUCAGAGGCGACGAAGGACGUGACAAGCUGCGAUAAGCUUCGGGUAGGUGCAAAUAACCUUUUAUCCGAAGAUUUCCGAAUGGGGCAACCCGGCUGGUUGAAGGCCAGUCAUCCCGCUUAUGUGGGAAGCUAACCCGGUGAACUGAAACAUCUAAGUAACCGGAGGAAGAGAAAACAAUAGUGAUUCCCUAAGUAGUGGCGAGCGAACGGGGAACAGCCUAAACCAAAGUUGUUACGGCAAUUUUGGGGUUGUAGGACUGCAAUGUGGAAUAUAGAUUAAUAGUAGAACACUUCUGGAAAGUUGGACCAUAGAAGGUGAAAGUCCUGUAGACGAAAUUAAUUUAUUACCUAGCAGUAUCCUGAGUAGCGCGGGACCGGAGAAAUCCUGUGGGAAUCUGCCAGCACCAUCUGGUAAGGCUAAAUACUCCUGAGAGACCGAUAGUGAACAAGUACCGUGAGGGAAAGGUGAAAAGUACUUCGAACAGAAGAGUGAAAUAGAUCCUGAAACCGUGCGCUUACAAGCGGUCGGAGGCCAACUUAGCAGCUUGCUGCUAAUAGUAGCUGACGGCGUGCCUUUUGCAUAAUGAGCCUACGAGUUACUCCUCGUUAGCAAGGUUAAUUACCAUGAGGUAAGGAGCCGAAGCGAAAGCAAGUCUGAACAGGGCGUUCAGUUAGCGGGGGUAGACGCGAAACUUGGUGAUCUACCCAUGGGCAGGUUGAAGUUCCGGUAACACGGAAUGGAGGACCGAACCAGUACACGUUGAAAAGUGUUUGGAUGACCUGUGGGUAGGGGUGAAAGGCUAAUCAAACUGAGAGAUAGCUCGUACUCCCCGAAAUGCAUUUAGGUGCAGCCUCGAGUAUAAGUGUCAUAGAGGUAGAGCUACUGAUUGGGCUAGGGGGCUUCACCGCCUACCAAACCCUGACAAACUCCGAAUGCUAUGACAUGUUCCUCGGGAGUGAGGCGUUGGGUGCUAAGGUCCAAUGCCGAGAGGGAAAGAACCCGGACUAUCAGCUAAGGUCCCUAAAUAUACGCUAAGUUGUUCUAACGAGGUCUGAUUGCUUUGACAGCUAGGAUGUUGGCUUGGAAGCAGCCAUUCAUUUAAAGAGUGCGUAACAGCUCACUAGUCGAGCGAUCAGGCAUGGAUGAUAAUCGGGCAUAAGCGUAUUACCGAAGCUAUAGAUUCUCACACUAUGUGUGGGACUGGUAGGGGAGCAUUCCAGUUGCGUCGAAUGCGUAUCGUAAGGUAUGCUGGAGCGGCUGGAAAAGCAAAUGUAGGCAUAAGUAACGAUAAUGCGGGCGAGAAACCCGCACACCGUAAGACUAAGGUUUCCUGAUCAACGCUAAUCGGAUCAGGGUUAGUCGGGACCUAAGGCGAACCCGAAGGGGGUAGUCGAUGGACAACUGGUCAAUAUUCCAGUACUGGCAAUAACUGCUAUGGGGUGACGAAGGAGUGAAAGAUCCGCGUACUGACGGAAUAGUACGUUGAAAUGCGUAGGUAUACGAAUUGGUUAAGAGCUAAUUUGUGCUGAAACAUGAUAGUACCGUAAGUCUUCGGACGAGCGGAUAGUGAUCCUAAUCCGACUUCCAAGAAAAACCUCUACGCUUCAGGUUAUUGCUACCCGUACCGUAAACCGACACAGGUAGUCGAGGAGAGUAUCCAAAGGUGCUCGAGUGAUUCAUGGCUAAGGAACUAGGCAAAUUAACCCUGUAACUUCGGGAGAAAGGGUGCCAUCAGAAAUGGUGGCCGCAGAGAAAUGGCCCAGGCGACUGUUUAUCAAAAACACAUGGCUUUGCUAAAUUUAAUGAUGACGUAUAAGGCCUGACACCUGCCCGGUGCCGGAAGGUUAAGUGGAGAUGUUAUUACACUUCGGUGUAAGAAGCUUUGAAAUGAAGCCCCGGUAAACGGCGGCCGUAACUAUAACGGUCCUAAGGUAGCGAAAUUCCUUGUCGGGUAAGUUCCGACCUGCACGAAUGGUGUAACGAUCUGGGCACUGUCUCAGCCAUGAG
RNAcentral lists this ribosomal RNA (2033 nucleotides) under invertebrate metagenome. RNAcentral's name for it is "bacterial LSU rRNA". It matches the Rfam family "Bacterial large subunit ribosomal RNA", at positions 14 to 2031 of the family's 2925-position model. The record is from RNAcentral.